This is a long non-coding RNA of Papaver somniferum (opium poppy), 1609 nucleotides long. RefSeq lists it as uncharacterized. The record is from RefSeq and is a predicted model, not a curated record. NCBI's taxonomy places the organism in Eukaryota, Viridiplantae, Streptophyta, Magnoliopsida, Ranunculales, Papaveraceae. The transcript is spliced from 5 exons.
CCAGAAGCCAAAAUAAUCACCUUUAUGUCAUCAUAUUUGUCAAAAGGGUAUAAAUGUCAUGUUAACACACGUGCGGACCACAUGCUUCUGAUUUUGACCACUUAACCAUGCCUAACGGCCAAAUUAACGGAUUGGGGCAUUUUAAUUUAAAGCCUAACGGCCAGGACAUUUUCACAACCAUGUGGUCCAUUUUGGGGCAUUUUGCCACUUAACCCAAAUAAUUUUGGUUGAAAUCUAUCAUCGCAUCAAAGCUUUAUAAAAUUGAAAUCUCAAUUCAAAACCCUCGGUCUCUCUCCACUUUCGUUUUAAAACCUAACUUUUCAGAACUUAUCUUCUUCAAUUUCACAUCUUCGAUCUGUCUAAAAAAUUCUCUUUCUUCCCUAGCCCCAUUCUUGGAAUUGAUGAUUUUAUGCAAAGUGGGUUUUCAAUUUCUUGUAGUUAGGGUUGAUACUUUUGAACUGAAUGUUGGUCUAAUAGGGUGCUAUUUGAAGUGGGUUUUGUAAAUAGAGGUAAAAGUUUGUUCUUGUGAAGGGGCUGUUUGUGUUGUGCCAAAAUUUGGAUUACUGAAAAAAAUAUGUAGAAUAUCCAUCUGAGGUAGAAGAAACAAAACAUUGAGAAAGUUUUACGGAGAAGGUAUCGGAGAAUUCGCCUUUCUCUACUAACAAUGGAGAUUGGAUUUCUAAUGAUGUUGUUUGAAAGGAAUUAGACGAUGAGCUGGAGAAUUUUAGUAUUUUUGGCAGAUAACUUGGAUAACAUGAAUACGUUGAUAAUGAGAAUUUGCACAAACACUUUUUGCUGGUGUGAUCACUAAGUUGAAGUAGAAAUUGCUAUUGCAAGGAAGGAGGUGGGAGAGUUCUAGUGGGUUCGCAGAGACAAAUCUUGUGUCUGCAAAGAAAUUGUUACAAACGGCAGAGAUGUAAGCUACCUUGAGACACAUACAAGAUGGACUAUUACUGCUAAAUUUAAGCAUCACAGGUUAUGUAUGUGAGUAAAAGGCAGAACUUCGAACGACAAACGAUUCUAAAGAUACUCGAACCUAUUAUAUGAUAUGCCGGAUUGUGAAGUUAAUACAUAUUUGUGUCCUGGUGAAGCAUCAGAGGAAGUUUACUCAACUCAUUCAGCGGAGAAUAUACAAUGUGAACCGUAACAGGAUGACGAUGAUGCCCUUGUUAAUUUGGUCGUAGAACUGAUGUUCCUAAGAAUCCCAAUGAAACCCUUAAGUUACGAUACUGAUUAUGCCAGAACGCAGUUAAAGGGAAAAUGACAAUCAGCGAUACUGAUCUUGGAAAUGUUUAUACUGCUACUGACAAUGAUCAUUGCAUUGAGUUUGAAGAAGGCUUUGAAGAAUCUGCAACGAGAUAGACUGAUUGAUUUCGGUUGUGAUGAUUAAUUUGAAUAAUCUAACAACAAAACAACAUUGUUUAGGGGAGAAUUUGCAUUGUUAUUGCACAGAUUUAUGUUUGCAUAGUAAAUUUUUGUUUGAUUGGUGUUAUUCUCUGUUCGAACAGUUUCUUUAGGAAACUUGGUAUUUCACCGAUCCUUGUUAUAUCUCUUGUUUACACAUUUUGUUUGAUCUCAUUAAAAGGAUUCAUGUUUUCCUUUAUAAACA